GAGAGACUAGAGAUGGAGACAUCAGCCAGAUGACGUUACACCAUCCAGGAAUCUUGGUUGCAAUUUACUGACAGAACUGAGCUUUGGAACAUUUCAGGCCUGGCACGGAAUGCAGUUUUUACACAAGUUGGUAGAAUGGAGGUUGCACUGUUCGGGCCGGCCACUCUCCUACUGGCUGACAGGAUGCUGCCUGAGAUGAAACAGGGUGUGUGUGCACCACGGAGUCAGUCCAAGACUCCUGUUCUCACUCAGGGAUUCUUCAUUUCUUCUUCCUAUUGCCUCCACUUCAUGUUAUUUUCUUCCCUUCCCAUUUACAAGUAAAACUGACCUGAGCCCCGGGAAUAAAUGGUUUUCUUGGCUUCCUUCUUGCUCCC
RNAcentral lists this long non-coding RNA (374 nucleotides) under Pan troglodytes (chimpanzee). RNAcentral describes it as "long non-coding RNA NONPTRT007136". Lineage: Eukaryota; Metazoa; Chordata; Mammalia; Primates; Hominidae. The record is from RNAcentral.